GUUGAAAUGUAUAAAUACAAAAAAUAUACGGUGGUGUCAAGGGAAAGACACCAGUGUAAAACUGAAGUCGUCAUUAUUGAGAGUCAAGAUAUUAUCCAGAUAUCUAUAAUGCUCCUGCCUUCGGACAGGUACAAACUUUCGACUGGGUUAAACAUGUUUUGUGAGAUCUCAACCCUCCCCUAUACCUCUGGCCAAUGUAGAAUAACAACCACAAUGUAAUUACGCACAGUAAAAUUCCGACAAGUUUGUGAUAUCGAAAACCCUGCUGUUAUUAUUUUUCAGUAAGAUAUUUCUUUCGUUAAACUCAAAUACGUUGUUACAUGUGGGUCUAACACACAUACAUACAAUCAUACGGUGGUGUCAAGGGAAC
Molecule: long non-coding RNA, 370 nt
Filed under: Mytilus galloprovincialis (Mediterranean mussel)
Lineage: Eukaryota; Metazoa; Mollusca; Bivalvia; Mytilida; Mytilidae
Source: RNAcentral